RNAcentral lists this ribosomal RNA (460 nucleotides) under uncultured bacterium. RNAcentral's name for it is "partial 16S ribosomal RNA". It matches the Rfam family "Bacterial small subunit ribosomal RNA", at positions 338 to 795 of the family's 1533-position model. The record is from RNAcentral.
CCUACGGGAGGCUGCAGUGAGGAAUAUUGGUCAAUGGACGAGAGUCUGAACCAGCCAAGCAGCGUGAAGGAUGACUGCCCUAUGGGUUGUAAACUUCUUUUAUAUGGGAAUAAAACAGGGUAUGCAUACCCUCUUGUAUGUACCAUAUGAAUAAGGAUCGGCUAACUCCGUGCCAGCAGCCGCGGUAAUACGGAGGAUCCGAGCGUUAUCCGGAUUUCUUGGGUUUAAAGGGAGCGUAGGUGGAUUGGUAAGUCAGUUGUGAAAGUUUGCGGCUCAACCGUAAAAUUGCAGUUGAAACUGGCAGGCUUGAGUGCAGGAGAGGUGGGCGGAAUGCGUGGUGUAGCGGUGAAAUGCUUAGAUAUCACGAAGAACUCCGAUUGCGAAGGCAGCUCACUGGACUGCAACUGACACUGAUGCUCGAAAGUGUGGGUAUCAAACAGGAUUAGAUACCCCAGUAGUC